This is a long non-coding RNA of Alligator sinensis (Chinese alligator), 2066 nucleotides long. RefSeq lists it as uncharacterized. The transcript has 6 exons. The record is from RefSeq and is a predicted model, not a curated record. NCBI's taxonomy places the organism in Eukaryota, Metazoa, Chordata, Crocodylia, Alligatoridae.
AUCCACCUCCCCGCGCCCCCCGCACCCGUGCGCCGUCCGCCCCAGGUCGCUGCAGCCCCCGGGCUCGUGGGAAGCACCCCCUGCCCUUGCGGGGCUCUCGGACGCCAGGACACGGAGCAACGCGCUCCAGUCGCAGCAGGGGAGGCUGAGGGAAUCAAGAUACAGAGGGACCAUGUGGUUUAUCACGGGUGACAUAAGGAGUCUUUGGAAGAACCGGAAACUUGAGUCUCUGGACAGAGUUUUAAGAACAGGAACAAUAUCCUAGUGGUUUCCUUCAGAGAUGCUCCUCAAGCAUCAUAUCUGAAGCACGUGAUGUCCUACGUUGCGGUCCUUUCACCACAGACCCCUUUUGGAAAUCACAAACGGAGGUGCGGACCGCUUUGAAUUGUAGGUGUGGGUAUUCACAUACUUUUAAUCGAUCAUAGUCAUCUUUCGCAGACCCCUUCGACAUAGCCUGUGGACCCCCAAAGAGUCCAUGGACAACAGGUUGUAAACCACUGCUAUAGCGGAUGGACCUGCAGCGAAUGGACAUUUAGAUGCAACAUUUGAAAGGUCUCCAAUGUCCAGCGAGUAGGUGAAGAGGGUUUCUAGUGCAGACUGAAACUGGGCCAAGACAGCAGACCAGUGGCAAGGUUUGGAUUCCUUUUGCUCUAAUAUGCCUCAGCAAACCAAGUAGGAAAUGGAUCUCCCAAGUAGAUACAUUUGCUGAUUGUGCUAAAGGAAUGGGUUUUGGUCCCAAUUGGUUGGAAUGAUGGCUGCUCUAUUCUAUUUACCUCUGACGUACAGGCUGUCUAGGAUAUAGUCACAACUGAGCUGAGUCCCCGGAUGAAAGCCAGGUGUUGACCAAGGAAUGACGUGGUGUGUUGAAAAGGACGUGCUGUCUAUAUGACCUGGUUAUAGGGGAUCCACGGGGAACGUAGGUAAGAGCAGGGGUACGUGGCCAGAGCCUGACUGGUGGCGGUUGCCUGUACAGAUAGAUCAGAUAACUUGCAGCAGUUAAGGACCUGCCUACAGUUAAUGCAUGCACCGCGUGGGCAUGCUGAUAUGCCAGGAUAAGCAAUGGCUUGAGCCAGCACUCAGACCUGGAGGAGUUGGACAUCACUGGGAUUUCUGGCAGAUGGGUGCAUUCCCAGCUCUACCCAGGAGAUGGCAGAAGUACUUCAAGCACAUAGAUUGAAACCUCCAAGCUAUGACCUAUCUAUUUCCCAGGAAACCACGGGCGAAUCCAGAAGAACCACUGCUUUUGUAGCUGCACGGGGUUGGAUUCAGAAGAGAUGGUCUUUGCAAUCUGCAUCAGCAGUCCAUGCGGGUUCAUCGUUCCUGCGCACGCCACUCUCAGCUUCUGUUUCUCCUCCAGAAACCUUGGAUGGGAGCUGACUCCCAAACAGGGAGAGGUCGUGUGACCCAAAAGCAGGAAAGAGUUGUACGAGGCUUGUCCAUGCGGUGACCGAUUGACUGCGAGAGGCGGCAGAAAAUUACGGGUGAGAUUUUAAAGAAGAGACCGCCAAGGAACUUUGGGUUGAGAGUUCAGCUUUGCAAUAAAUUAAUAGAUGAUGAAUUAGAGGAGUGCCUCCCUGGGUGUUAUUUGAAAGUCAAUGAGCGUUGUCAUAACCGUUGUCUCUGCUAGAUGGAGAUAAAAGAUGACUCUGCGCUCAUAGCACCGCGAUUCUGGGGCCCUGGGUUUGAGUUCUGCUCCUGCCACAGUCUCCUGCCUGCCCUCGGCGGUGGGGAAGGCAGCUCAGCGCCAGAUUUCCACGAGGCCUCAACGGUGCUCUGCCGAUGGUCGCUCCAGCAGGAGCAAUUCUGACAAGCUGGUCGCUUCCUGUUGUUUAAAGGGGAGCUGCAAAUUUUGUAAAGCUGAUCUCCACCGGCGUGGAGGGAGGCCAGGGUUAUAUGGGGUGAUGCACCUUGCUCUCUGCACCCCCCCUUGUCAAAAGCCUACAUCCACCCACGUGGACGAGCGCUGCGGCGGCCCUGAGGAUUCCUCGGGCGCUACCUGCCAUUGGGAUAGAUGCAGAGGAGCUUCCUGCGGCCAGGCACCCCCCUUCACCAGGUCUCCUCCGAUC